Molecule: ribosomal RNA, 253 nt
Filed under: uncultured bacterium
Lineage: Bacteria
Description: partial 16S ribosomal RNA
Rfam family: Bacterial small subunit ribosomal RNA
Source: RNAcentral
UACAGAGGUCCCAAGCGUUGUUCGGAUUCACUGGGCGUAAAGGGUGCGUAGGUGGCGAGGUAAGUGGGAUGUGAAAUCUCCGAGCUCAACUCGGAAAUGGCAUUGGAAACUACCUUGCUCGAGGGUUGGAGGGGGGACUGGAAUGCUUGGUGUAGCAGUGAAAUGCGUAGAUAUCAAGCGGAACACCACUGGCGAAGGCGAGUCCCUGGACAACUCCUGACACUGAGGCACGAAAGCUAGGGGAGCAAACAGG